CUGGCUGUGUGCCUAAUACAUGCAUGUCGAGCGAAGUUGCUUCGGUAACUUAGCGGCGAAUGGGUGAGUAACACGUACUCAACGUACCCUUUUGAUUGGGAUAGCAAGUGGAAACAUUUGAUAAUACCAAAUACGCAUUAUUUUCGCAUGAAGAUAAUGUAAAAGGAGCUUUACGGCUUCGCAAAAGGAGCGGGGUGCGCAACAUUAGCUAGUUGGUGAGGGUAAUGGCCCACCAAGGCGAUGAUGUUUAGCGGGGUUGAGAGACUGAACCGCCACACUGGGACUGAGAUACGGCCCAGACUCCUACGGGAGGCAGCAGUAGGGAAUAUUCCACAAUGGACGAAAGUCUGAUGGAGCGACACAGCGUGCAGGAUGAAGGCCCCAUGGGUUGUAAACUGCUGUGGUAAGGGAAGAAAAAGUUCUAUAGGAAAUGAUAGGACCUUGACGGUACCUUAUUAGAAAGCAACGGCUAACUAUGUGCCAGCAGCCGCGGUAAUACAUAGGUUGCAAGCGUUAUCCGGAAUUAUUGGGCGUAAAGCGUCUGUAGGUUGUUUGUUAAGUCUGACGUCAAAACUUGGGGCUCAACCCCAAAUCGCGUUGGAUACUGGCUUACUAGAGUUAUGUAGAGGUUAGCGGAAUUCCUUGUGAAGCGGUGGAAUGCGUAGAUAUAAGGAAGAACACCAAUAUGGCGAAGGCAGCUAACUGGACAUACACUGACACUGAGAGACGAAAGCGUGGGGAGCAAACAGGAUUAGAUACCCUGGUAGUCCACGCCCUAAACGAUGAUCAUUAGCUGAUGGAAAAUUCAUCGGCGCAGCUAACGCAUUAAAUGAUCCGCCUGAGUAGUACGUUCGCAAGAAUAAAACUUAAAGGAAUUGACGGGGAUCCGCACAAGCGGUGGAGCAUGUGGUUUAAUUUGACGAUACGCGUAGAACCUUACCCACUCUUGACAUCUUCUGCAAGGCUAUAGAGAUAUAGUGGAGGUUAACAGAAUGACAGAUGGUGCAUGGUUGUCGUCAGCUCGUGUCGUGAGAUGUUCGGUUAAGUCCUGCAACGAGCGCAACCCUUGUCCUUAGUUACUACAUUAAGUUGAGCACUCUAAGGAGACUGCCCGAGUAAUUGGGAGGAAGGUGGGGACGACGUCAAAUCAUCAUGCCUCUUACGAGUGGGGCAACACACGUGCUACAAUGGUCGGUACAAAGAGAAGCAAUAUGGCGACAUGGAGCAAACCUCAAAAAACCGAUCUCAGUUCGGAUUGUAGUCUGCAACUCGACUACAUGAAGUCGGAAUCGCUAGUAAUCGUAGAUCAGCUACGCUACGGUGAAUACGUUCUCGGGUCUUGUACACACCGCCCGUCAAACCAUGGGAGCUGGUAAUGCCCGAAGUCGGUUUAUAAACAAACUGCCUAAGGCAGGACUGGUGACUGGGGUUAAGUCGUAACAAGGUAUCCCUACGAGAACGUGGGGAUGGAUCACCUCCUUUCUACGGAGUACAUAAAAUCACAUUUCAUUGGGAAUAGUGAUUAUUAACCUUAUUUUUUGACCUUAACUUAAUAUUUUUCAACAGUUCAUGGCUUAUUUAGGUCAUAAGCAAUAUAU
RNAcentral lists this ribosomal RNA (1598 nucleotides) under Mycoplasmopsis iners. Its description in RNAcentral is "Mycoplasma iners partial 16S ribosomal RNA". It matches the Rfam family "Bacterial small subunit ribosomal RNA". Lineage: Bacteria; Bacillati; Mycoplasmatota; Mycoplasmoidales; Metamycoplasmataceae. The record is from RNAcentral.